UCCUCUGGAUUGUAAACUUCUUUUAUAUGGGACGAAAAAAGGUCUUUCUAGAUCACUUGACGGUACCAUAUGAAUAAGCACCGGCUAACUCCGUGCCAGCAGCCGCGGUAAUACGGAGGGUGCAAGCGUUAUCCGGAUUCACUGGGUUUAAAGGGUGCGUAGGCGGGCAGGUAAGUCAGUGGUGAAAUCCUGGAGCUCAACUCCAGAACUGCCAUUGAUACUAUCUGUCUUGAAUAUUGUGGAGGUAAGCGGAAUAUGUCAUGUAGCGGUGAAAUGCUUAGAUAUGACAUAGAACACCUAUUGCGAAGGCAGCUUACUACGCAUAUAUUGACGC
Molecule: ribosomal RNA, 334 nt
Filed under: uncultured Sediminibacterium sp.
Lineage: Bacteria; Pseudomonadati; Bacteroidota; Chitinophagia; Chitinophagales; Chitinophagaceae
Description: bacterial SSU rRNA
Rfam family: Bacterial small subunit ribosomal RNA
Source: RNAcentral